RNAcentral lists this ribosomal RNA (381 nucleotides) under uncultured archaeon. RNAcentral's name for it is "bacterial SSU rRNA". It matches the Rfam family "Archaeal small subunit ribosomal RNA", at positions 473 to 853 of the family's 1478-position model. The record is from RNAcentral.
ACACCGGCGGCCCGAGUGGUGAUCGUGAUUAUUGGGUCUAAAGGGUCCGUAGCCGGUUUGGUCAGUCCUCCGGGAAAUCUGAUAGCUCAACUAUUAGGCUUUCGGGGGAUGCUGCCAGACUUGGAACCGGGAGAGGUAAGAGGUACUACAGGGGUAGGGGUGAAAUCUUGUAAUCCCUGUGGGACCACCUGUGGCGAAGGCGUCUUACCAGAACGGGUUCGACGGUGAGGGACGAAAGCUGGGGGCACGAACCGGAUUAGAUACCCGGGUAGUCCCAGCCGUAAACGAUGCUCGCUAGGUGUCAGGCAUGGCGCGACCGUGUCUGGUGCCGCAGGGAAGCCGUGAAGCGAGCCACCUGGGAAGUACGGCCGCAAGGCUGAA